CCUGGAACCAGGAAAAACAAAGAUUCAGAGGCGAUUUGAGAGUGUGAAGAUGAUUUGAAGAGCCAGACGUUUUUUCUCUCAGAUCUAACACAGGAGCAGAUUUUCAAAAACACAGGUUCUACAAACUGCCUGUCUUUGAUAUCCAGGAGGAGCUCAUCUGGAAUGCAAAGGAGCUAGUACAAGAAGCACCUUCCUUCCUGGGUGGUGAGACCAGCCCCGUGCACUUAGCGAGUGGAUUUUAAAUAUAAAGAGAUUUGUGUCCAGUUAUCUAGGUGGCCACUGGAAUGACAGUAAUUCACACCAAACCACAUAAGGAGGAAACAUCAUCCAUCUUCAUUUUUUAGAAAAAAAAAAAGCAGCUUUAGAAAACCAGAUAACUAGCCCUCAAUCAAUUCCGAGUCAGCAGAUCUAUUUACUCUCUUCUGAUGCUGUGUCACUCGAUUGAGUCUUGCUGGCUCCGUCAGGAUUUUUCCAACAUGCGUUGUCAUGGAUCAAAACCUUCCAGCAACUGUCCUUUGUCUCUCAAAAUAGUGUCUUUUCUCAAUCCAUGAAGUAAGGCAUGUCUCACUCAGGAUCUGCUCAACUGAUUUUGAAAAAGAUGCCAAAAUUCUUUUUUCUCUUUUUUUUUAGAGACAGAGUCUCACUCUGCCACCCAGGCUGGAGUGCAGUGGCACAAUCUUGGCUUACUGCAGCCUCAAAUUCCUGGGCUCAAGAGGAGUAGCUACUCAGCCUCCUGAGUAGCUGAACACAGGCAUGUGCCACUCUGCCCAGCUAAUGUAGAGACAGGGUCUUACCAUAUUGCCCAGGCUGUUCUCUAAAUUCUGGACUCAAGCAAUCUUCUCACAUAGGCCUCCCAAGUGCUGGGAUUGCAGGCAUGAGCCACUGUGCCUGGCCUGCAAAAGCUCUUUACUUUGAAAGCACAUUGAAAUUGUUCUGUACUUGGCAGCGGUGGUUACACAGCUGUAUAUUGCCAUCAACAUUCAUGGAUCUAUACACCAAAGAGUGAAUUUGACUGUAUGCAAGUGAUGUUUCCAUUUAAGUAAGAGUCAAAGGAAAAAAAAAUGAAAUACUGAAAUUUCUGUCUGGACACGGAAGGCUUAAAAAAUAGGAGCGUCUAUCCUCUCUGAGUAUCUGCCUAAGUUUUCGAGGGAAAACAUGAAUGAGCCAAUUAAAGAUCUCAUUUCUAGGUGACUGACAAAUCACAUUUGAGUUACUCAACUAGUUCUGGUUUGGGGAUUGGUGAGUUUCACUGUAUCAAGCUGUGACUCUGUUUAACCCAAGUAUUCCCUCGAGGCCAAUCUUGGCUGUCUCUCUUCAAGCUGAAAUUGAGAGGCUUUGCGAGUGGCCCUAUAAACACGCUAAUGAAUGAAUGGACAACUAAUUACCUUGUAAAUAUGCAUGAAUAAGCACAGGCCUCAGAUGCCUCUGCAGUAAGCCAAAUGUCUCGGCGCCCCCUUGCUACUUACUUGUGCAUGAGAAAACGUGUGAUAUUCCUACGGUGGAAGCUCAGGCCUCUCAUUCUCAGAGGCAAAUCUUUCAAUGUUGGUGGAAAAGGUCCUGGUAUAGGACACUUUAAAAGACACAUUAAUAAAAAUAACAGACAAAUGUAGCCAUGAAGAAUAACCCAUCAUCCACGUUCCUACACCCCCAUAAAAGAGUAAACUAACCUCUUGAUUAAAUUUUUCCAGCAAGGAGGCCCUUUUUUUAUUUUAAACUUGUUUUUAAAUAGUUUUUUUUUCUCCUUUGUUUAUAUAUUGUAGGUCACAGUGAUUCCCCUUAGUGCUCAAAGAUUGCAGGGCUUUAAAAGCCCUUAAGGGGCCAGGCACAGUGGCUCACGCCUGUAAUCCCAACAUUUUGGGAGGCUGAGGCAGGAGGAUCACCUGAGGUCAGGAGUUCAAGGCCAGCCUGACCAACAUGGUGAAACCCCAUCUCUACUAAAAAUACAAAAUUAGCCAGGCAUGGAGGCGCAGGCCUGCAAUCGCAGCUACUCAGGAGGCUGAGGCAGGAGAAUCACUCAAACCCAGGAGGCAGAGGUUGAAGUGAACUGAGACUGCCCCAUUGCACUCCAGCCUGGGCCACAAGAGGGCAACUUCAUCUCAAAAAGAAAAGCCCUUAAGGAUGACACUGCUUCCUGUCCUAGGAACAUGAGCAUCAAACUACAAAAACCAGUGUCGAGGGGGGAUUUGGCUGGUCCCUGGAAAAUGCAUUCCCAUGAGAGGCUUGCUGGAGAACAGCACCCUUGGCAGGCAUUUGUAGACUUAUCCUGGGCCAGAGAGACUCAUCCAAUCUGGUGUGUUGAAUCUGUUCAUAGUAUAAUUGGCGUCAAUUAUAAUAACUAGAGUGACAUCCCACAUCCAUCCUUUGGUGAAUGAGCCAACUUCAGCAAGUUAUUUAGCCUCCUGGGUCUUCAGUUUACUCAUCUGUCUUAUGGGACUAAUAAAAACUACCUUGUAGAGUUGUUAGGAAGAUUAAAUUUGACAAUGUAUAGGAAGUGCCCAGUUCAGUGUCUAGUAUAUAGCAAGUAUUUGAUAAGUAAUAUUUAUUAUUAUGAUGAGAUGGAGUCUCCCUCUAUUGCCCAGGGUGGAGUACAGUGGCACAAUCUUGCCUCAGUGCAACUUCCGCCUCCUGGGUUCAAGUGAUUCUCCUGCCUCAGCCUCCCGAGUAGCUGGGAGUACGGGCACGUGCCACUAUGCCUGGCUAGUUUUUUUUUUUUUUUUUUUUUUUUUUUUGGAUUUUUAGUAGAGAUGGAGUUUCACCAUAUUGGCCAGACUGGUCUCAAACUCCUGACCUCAUGAUCCACCCACCUCGGCUUCCCAAAGUGCUGGGAUUACAGGCGUGAGCCACCGCGCCCGGCCAAUAUUUAUUAGUAGUAGUAUUAAUAAGGCCCACCGGAAGAGUAAACUAAUUUUGUCUCAUUACAGUUUACACUCAAUCUAGUCUAGACAUGGGCUAAUUUCAGUGGGGGCAACAUUUCCCUAAAUAGCAGUUGGAGCUGGUCCUACUCUCAGAACUGAGACAAGGACCAGUAGACACUAGACUCCCUUAGGAGCACUCAGGAGCUUCCUAGACUCUCUUAGGAGCACUCAGGAGCUUCCUAUUUCCAGUCUUAUUUUUUCCACUGGUCUAUGCUCAGGACUGAACCUAGGCAAUAAGCUGUUAUGAAACUAGGGCAACGUUACUUGAUAUCUAAUAGAUAAAAGCAAGAGCUGGUGAGUCCUUCAAAACAGUGCUUCCCACAGCCUGGCCCACAGAACAGGCACCAUGCAAGAUACCCCUCAAACGCAAUAGACCAAAGGAAAGUAGGUUUAAGAAACUCUCAAGGCCACAUAAUCCAAUGGAUUUCUUUACUGCAGAAUAUUUCAGUGCUGGAAUUCAUUGUGAAGUUCAUAUUAAUUCAACACCCAUGAACAUCAUAUACAUUAGGAAUUUUUUUAAAUCACAGGUUCAUGGAUAUGUUAGAUACCAUCUAAUCAAAUCACCUCCUCAAUGCAUUCAUUCUGUGAUAACAUCCUGAUAAACAAUGACCAAUUUCACUGUUGGUGACGGAACUUAGUACAUCGCUAUGAAGUAGAUUCCAUGUGUAAUGGUGCUAAAAUUACAGGAAACUUCUUCCUUAUGUUGAAACAGCUUCUGUCUCUUCUCAAGUUUUUACUCAUACGUACUUUCUGUCAUAUGUAUUUUGUCUUUUGGUGCCAUCCAGCAUGCAACUACAAGCCACAUUCCUUCCAGGACUUGAAAUUCCCAAGGGUUUUCUUUUGAGGCUAAACAUUUUCUUCGACUGUUCAGUUCACUGGUAUUUUUAAUUUCCAGACACAGCAUUGUUCUUGUUAACAACUGCUGGAUGUACUCUAGCUUUAUCCAUGUCCUUUCAAAUAUUCCUACGUGUAAACUGAACUCAUCAGUGCAAAGUAUGGAAAGACAAUCACCUUCCUUGCUUUGCACAGUAUACAUCUAUAAACAUGGUCAAAGGUUACAGUCGCUCCUUAGGCGGGCCCCAUGGUGUGUGACGUCAAUUCACAUCCUGAUGUUGCUUUUUAUAUGAACUUCUGCUAUGAAGCCACAUCUCACAAGACCUGUAGUCAUGCAGUUGAACUUUGAAUCUGAAUACUGGGAUUUGAAUUACCUUUAUUGCACUUCACUUCAUCUGAACUCAGCCUUCUCCCCUGUUGUGAUUUUUCUUUAGAACACUGGCUCUAAUAGCCAAUGUGUUAGUUCUCUCCCGCUUUGCAUACUGGAAGGUAUGAUUUCUAUUUUUUCCUGUAAGUGAUCGAUUAUACAAUUUUAAAAAAGGAUAACAGGGCCUGGUUUAAAAUUUUAAAGAGAUAACAGGGCCUCCAGGUUGGGAAUGAUUAUGAAAUGAGGGUAAUUCUCCCAAGUUACCAAAAGUUGUUGAUCACGGUUAUUCAACAAACUAUGUUCCACUAGCCAGUCCACAUUUCUUCACUGAGUCUUCGAAGAUAUAUAAGUGAAUUUGUCAACAUCCUGGAUUUGCUGAAAUCUGAGCUGUUGCCUUCAUCCACUGAUAUAGCAUUUAUUUAUUUAUUUUUGAGACGGACUCUCGCUCUGUCGCCCAGGCUAGAGUACGAUGGCGUGAUCUCAGCUCACUGCAAC
Molecule: long non-coding RNA, 4611 nt
Filed under: Homo sapiens (human)
Lineage: Eukaryota; Metazoa; Chordata; Mammalia; Primates; Hominidae
Description: HSALNT0233463
Source: RNAcentral